GGUUUAAAAGACGGCUUCGGCUGUCACUUUAGGAUGGACCCGCGGCGUAUUAGCUUGUUGGUAAGGUAACGGCCUACCGAGGCGAUGAUACGUAGCCGACCUGAGAGGGUAAUCGGCCACAUUGGGACUGAGACACGGCCCAAACUCCUACGGGAGGCAGCAGUAGGGAAUCUUCCACAAUGGACGAAAGUCUGAUGGAGCAACGCCACGUGAGUGAUGAAGGGUUUCGGCUCGUAAAACUCUGUUGUUGGAGAAGAACAGGUGUCAGAGUAACUGUUGACAUCUUGACGGUAUCCAACCAGAAAGCCACGGCUAACUACGUGCCAGCAGCCGCGGUAAUACGUAGGUGGCAAGCGUUGUCCGGAUUUAUUGGGCGUAAAGCGAGCGCAGGCGGUUUUUUAGGUCUGAUGUGAAAGCCUUCGGCUUAACCGGAGAAGUGCAUCGGAAACCGGGAGACUUGAGUGCAGAAGAGGACAGUGGAACUCCAUGUGUAGCGGUGAAAUGCGUAGAUAUAUGGAAGAACACCAGUGGCGAAGGCGGCUGUCUGGUCUGUAACUGACGCUGAGGCUCGAAAGCAUGGGUAGCGAACAGGAUUAGAUACCCUGGU
This 607-nucleotide ribosomal RNA is filed under the name uncultured bacterium. RNAcentral's name for it is "bacterial SSU rRNA". It matches the Rfam family "Bacterial small subunit ribosomal RNA", at positions 197 to 791 of the family's 1533-position model. The record is from RNAcentral.